AUGGCUCAGGAUGAACGCUAGCGGCAGGCUUAACACAUGCAAGUCGAGGGGCAACGCGAGUAGCAAUACUUGGCGGCGACCGGCGCAAGGGUGCGUAACGCGUGAGCAACAUGCCCGUAUCAGGGGGAUAAUCCAGGGAAACUUGGUCUAAUACCCCAUAGUAAUUUUGUAAGGCAUCUUAUAAGAUUUAAAGCUUUGGUGGAUACGGAUUGGCUCGCGUGACAUUAGCUGGAUGGUAAGGUAACGGCUUACCAUGGCUAUGAUGUCUAGGGGUUCUGAGAGGAAGGUCCCCCACACUGGAACUGAGACACGGUCCAGACUCCUACGGGAGGCAGCAGUGAGGAAUAUUGGACAAUGGAUGGAAAUCUGAUCCAGCCAUGCCGCGUGAAAGGAAGAAGGUCCUAUGGAUUGUAAACUUCUUUUGUAUGGGAGCAAUAAGGCCUACGUGUAGGUUGAUGAGAGUACCAUACGAAUAAGCACCGGCUAACUCCGUGCCAGCCGCCGC
This 505-nucleotide ribosomal RNA is filed under the name uncultured bacterium. RNAcentral's name for it is "bacterial SSU rRNA". It matches the Rfam family "Bacterial small subunit ribosomal RNA", at positions 19 to 518 of the family's 1533-position model. The record is from RNAcentral.